GUCGAAGCACUGCGAGUUCGACUCGUCAUCAUUAGAGGACAAUCUCCGUGAUCAAUUUACGUGUGGAUUAAAAAGUGACACUAUAAAACAACGUCUCUUUGCCGAGAAAAAUCUAACCUAUGCGAGAGCGGUAAGCCUCGCGCUCUCGUUGGAAGCGGCGGAGAGGGACGCGGCUACGGUAGAACGCCCGUGUGCGAGCGAGAGCACCGUAGGCAGAUCAGAUAUGGCGUCCGUAAAUGCGAUCACACCGGGACCACGUGGCGGAAAUAUAGGCAGUAAUCGGAACAACAGUGCCAGUGCUAGCAAUAUGCAGAACAAUGCGCCCAAAUGUGCAGUUUGUGGACGGCAAGACCACCGCGAAGCAGCGUGCCGCUAUAAGAACUUCACGUGUAGCAAGUGUGGUUCCGUGGGCCAUCUGAGGCGGGUAUGCCCGUCUUGGGGAUCGGCUAGCGGCAGUAGCGGCCAGGGAGCGCCCGGCGGGCGCGGGCCGGGCGCCGCCGGCAGGCGCGGCGCGGCCGCGGGGGCGCGGCGCGGGCGGCGCGCCCUGCACCACGUCCAGGCCACUUAUGAGACUCCAGGGGCCGACGAGGACAAUUCGUCGGAAACUGAAUUGGAAGAAAAUUUGCAUCACCUAUGUUUAAACGACUACAGACCGAUAUAAGGAGCUGUUUAGCGGCGGUUUGGGGCGGUUCACGGGCGGCAAGGCGACGCUUCGCGUGAAGGAGGGCGCGGCGCCGGUGUACUGUCGCGCGCGCCCGCUGCCCUACGCGCUGCGGGACCGGGUGGACCACGAGCUGGACGAGAUGCUGCGCAGCGGCGUCAUCGAGCCCGUCGACACCUCGGAGUGGGCUACGCCUCUGGUGCCGAUCCAUCAGCUUUACUCUUACCACAAGACAGACCAUUGGCACCAGAGAACAUGACAAGAGAAGC
RNAcentral lists this unclassified non-coding RNA (930 nucleotides) under Leguminivora glycinivorella. RNAcentral describes it as "uncharacterized LOC125238833, transcript variant X2". Lineage: Eukaryota; Metazoa; Arthropoda; Insecta; Lepidoptera; Tortricidae. The record is from RNAcentral.